GCCGGGCGUGGUGGCGGACGCCUGUAGUCCUAGCUACUCCGGAGGCUGAGACAGGAGAAUGGCGUGAACCCGGGAGGCGGAGCUUGCAGGGAGCUGAGAUCCGGCCACUGCACUCCAGCCUGGGUGACAGCGCAAGACUCUGUCUCAA
This is an unclassified non-coding RNA of Macaca fascicularis (crab-eating macaque), 148 nucleotides long. It matches the Rfam family "Metazoan signal recognition particle RNA". Rfam says of the family: The signal recognition particle (SRP) is a universally conserved ribonucleoprotein. Lineage: Eukaryota; Metazoa; Chordata; Mammalia; Primates; Cercopithecidae. The record is from Ensembl.